GACGAACGCUGGCGGCGUGCUUAACACAUGCAAGUCGGACGGUGAAGCGAGUGCUUGCACUCGUGGAUCAGUGGCGAACGGGUGAGUAACACGUGAGUAACCUGCCCAUCACUCUGGGAUAAGCACUGGAAACGGUGUCUAAUACUGGAUACGACCAACCCUUGCAUGGGGUGUUGGUGGAAAGAUUUAUCGGUGAUGGAUGGACUCGCGGCCUAUCAGCUUGUUGGCGGGGUAAUGGCCCACCAAGGCGACGACGGGUAGCCGGCCUGAGGGGGUGACCGGCCACACUGGGAAUAAGACACGGCCCAGACCCCGCCGGGAGGCGGCAGUGGGGAAUAUUGAACAAGGGGCGAAGGUCGGAUGCAGCGACCCCGGGUGGGGAAGGACGGCUUUCGGGUUGUAACCCUCUUUCAGCGGGAAAGAGGCAAAAGUGAGGUUACCUGCAGAAGAAGCCCGGGCAAACUACGUG
This 469-nucleotide ribosomal RNA is filed under the name uncultured bacterium. RNAcentral describes it as "partial 16S ribosomal RNA". It matches the Rfam family "Bacterial small subunit ribosomal RNA", at positions 28 to 507 of the family's 1533-position model. The record is from RNAcentral.